Molecule: long non-coding RNA, 1676 nt
Filed under: Mus pahari (shrew mouse)
Lineage: Eukaryota; Metazoa; Chordata; Mammalia; Rodentia; Muridae
Description: lncRNA (MGP_PahariEiJ_G0002478.1)
Source: RNAcentral
AUAGCUGAUCGCUAACGUCUCUUUAAACCGCGACAACCUUGAUGAGAAUAAACCUUCCCGAAGCUCUCCAGCACAGUGGGGAGAGUUACUGAGCUGGGAAACCGAAAGGAAAGCAGGCAAGAUGCUCCCACUACAGGAGGAGAAAGCAAGGGGCCGGCUCUGGGAGGCGGUGGAAACCCAGAAAGAGGAUGGUGGUGAGACAGGGUAGGGUGGAUACGGACUGGGCGCCCUGGGAACUGCGGAAUGAUUUGGGGACUGAGAUACAUAUGAUGGAGGCCCGCGGGAGGCGCGGGAACCCGCCAGUCCCCGAGGCUUGGGGACUCACCUGCGUCUGCUCCUCCGUGAGGCCCGCCUCGGCUGCGAUGAGGCACAGCGUGGUGGGGUCCGGGUGCUUGUUGACCUUGUUGAAGUUGUACUCCAGGAUCUCCACCUGGUCCUCCGUGGGGCCGCUCGCGGUCUGCGCCGACAUGGUCCGUGCGCGUCUGCAGGGGAACCAGAUGCCCCGGGUGAGCAAGGUCCGCCUGCCCCCCUCCCGCCGUCCCACCGAGGCGCCCCGCGCCACUGGCUGCGGAGUUUGGGGGAGCCCUCCUUCCCCGGGACCGUCCCCAACCUGGCUAAAGAUGGAGAGGAGGAAGAAGACGCCUCCCGCCUGCCACUCGGAGGGGACAGUAGAGGAAGCGCCUCAAGUGCUGCCUCCGGAGAUCCGGAGCUGCCCUAGGGACUGAGGACACACGCGGGGCUGGGCUCCCGUCGCCGUGGGCACGCCUCCUGGGCUGCCACACUCCGCCUCCGCCGCGGGCUAGCACGUGGGGGGCCUUGCCAGGGAGCGCAGGGCACGCACACUUUGGGGAAAGAUGCUCACUGCACAAGUUGGGGAAAUGGAGACCGCACUUAAAAACAACAAUACCACCAAUGGAUAUUUACUCUUUUUUUUUUUUUUCCUGAUUACAAAUAGCACGUACUGCAGAAAAUCCGAAGGACAUUAAAAUCACAGAGGGAAAAAUUAAGUUGCCGCUUAGUCGCAAAUAACGGCUAUAAAAUUUUGGAUGAUACUUAAAGGAUCUUUCCAAUGUACUUGUACAGAGACGGAAAUGGAAACAGCGAUAAUGAUUUAUGAUUUACGGCCGGGUGGUGGUGUGGAGGAGGCUGAGCCAGGAGCAUGCGGAAGGCAGCUGAACCCCAAAUGUCAGGCCUCCAUCCCAAGAGCCUACCUACCUCACUGCAUUCUCCUGUGUGUGUGUGAUACCUUUCAAAAUCUACCCAAUUAAGCAGGAUCAAAACCAACUGUCAUUUAAAACCUCGGACUUCAGCCCAGAAAAAUAGGUCCACCUCCAGCUUCCAAUUCUCAUGUCUUCACUUUAAAGACAAAUGUUGUCGGCAUAUUGCGGCAACGACCUUCCUGCUGCGCCGCCACAGCGACUUAGCUUCAGACUUGGGGCUAAGAAAACUACCAGGUCUCUCAGGAAUGGUAAAGCCUAAUGCUGGAAAUUAGAACCUUUCCUCAAAUGCUGUGGCUGUAGCUUCAGUGAGAGAAGAUGCUGAUGGGUGAUCUGGUGAGCUGGGUGAGGGUUGCUCACCUUCAGGGUUCCUUCUGUCCGUCACACAUCAGUUGUGCUUUAAGUUUGCUGGCCAGCUAUUCUAGUCUACUAGGAAAGUAAUAAAGAAUGAAUUUCUGC